This 485-nucleotide unclassified non-coding RNA is filed under the name Hevea brasiliensis (rubber tree). Lineage: Eukaryota; Viridiplantae; Streptophyta; Magnoliopsida; Malpighiales; Euphorbiaceae. The record is from RNAcentral.
AGACUUCUCUCAUCUUCUCCUACGUUCUGAAAUCUUUUUCUCACUUCACACUCAGAUUCAUACACCCAUUUACAUUUCUUAAUCAAAUACCCAUUUCCCUAAAAUGGAUAGAGACUCAUCGGACGACGAAGAAGAUAGCCAGACGCUAAUUGAGCAAAACGACAGGAAAUCCCAACCACUCCCUACUUCCUCUCCCCAGCGCCGAUCCUCCUCCACCACCUUAGACAUUGAGUCUCUUGGAGGUUCAAUACGUCGUCGUUUCUUCCGUGACUUCAAUAAGAGGUAUUACUACUUCUUGUUGGUCAUUUUUCUCCCUCUCUUAAUCGUCGUCGUUGUUUUCUCGGCCGAUGUAAGGAAUCUCUUCUCCGCCAAUAUUUCUGCUCUUAGGCUUGAUUCUGUUACUGACCGCAUGAGAGAGGCUGAGUUGCAAGCGCUUUACCUGCUGGGUCAGCAGCAAGUUUCUCUCUUUUCUCUCUUGAACCAGC